RNAcentral lists this long non-coding RNA (1029 nucleotides) under Oryctolagus cuniculus (rabbit). RNAcentral's name for it is "lncRNA (ENSOCUG00000037797.1)". Lineage: Eukaryota; Metazoa; Chordata; Mammalia; Lagomorpha; Leporidae. The record is from RNAcentral.
CCAAAUCUACAUGGGUGCAGGGGCCCAAGCACUUGUGCCGCCCUCCACUGCUUUCCCAGGGAGCUGGAGCUGGGAAGCGAUCUGACACCCAUGUUGGGUGUGUGUGUGUGUGUGUGUGUGUGGUAGGGGCAGGCUUAGCUCACUGUGCUUCAACGCCGGCCCUCAACUGGGUUUUAUUGAUGUUUAUUUAAAUCAAACAGUGUCUGCUCAAGCUGAAUUAGGCCAGUAACUUAGACAAUACUGUAUCCUGCCAGAUUUUGAGCAGCACGUUUAACUCACAGGCGCCCGCAGCCGAGGGGUCUCUGGAGGGUGGAGUCACACGCCCGGGCGCGCCUAACGCUGACUGGGGAGCUGGGGCCCGUGAUGGGCCGCGCACAGGGUCCGGGAGAGGCAGACACCGGGCUGCCUCCUGGAAACCCAGGCCAGGCCCUGCGCUCCCUGCCCGGCCUGGCGGACGCGUCGGGCGCAGGGAGGCGCGCGGGGAGGAAGCCGGCGCCCCCCGCACGUCGCCCCGCACGGCCGCCCGCCCACCUGCUGAGGGAGCGCCGCCGAGACUCCGUGCACGGACACCGGCGGUGCCUCCGAAGGGCCCGCUCGGCGCCAGGAGAGGGGCAGGGGAGCCACACACGGGCCUGGGGCCGAGCGACCCAGCGAGGGGCGGCCGCGGAGCCCGGGGCGGCUGGGCCGGGCUAGGCGGACGACGCCCCUCAGGGGCUGCCCGGGCGCCAAGCCGGGGGACCCGGGCUCUCGGGCGGCGCGGAAGGAGGCAGCCCGGGCGUCCAGCCGGGGCGCGGCGGGUCCGCGAGCCCGCGUGCACCUGCGCUCUCGGGCAGCGUUCACGCGAGGGAGGCUCUGGCGGGAGAGACCUGGGAGGCCGCUCCUCCCCGCUGCCGCCGGCUCGCUCAGGAGGUGGCAGUGCUCACGGAGCGCCAGCAGAGGGCGCUGUGACCCUAAACUGCCACCGCGCGGGAGAGGACGGAGAACCCGUCCACCGCGACCCCGGGCUUGUAGCUGGCUGUACAUCAGGGU